UAUUCAGCUUUUUAUUUGCUUCCAUCCUUGGCAUGAUUUUCAUAUGAGAAUGCUAAGCAGGCACAGCAAAUAUUUUGUUAUGUGAGUAAAACCAAGUUUGAGGCUGGUCUGUGCAAUCCCCCACAUACCUCAACGUAGACACCUGCAAGUGCAUAAAGGCAGCCUUGCCUGACUCAUUAGGUUGCCCCACUCUUGCAAACGCCCUCUCAUGACUGAGUGAUGCGGCAUGGAAGGACCUUGUGCUUUUCACAUGGCCACUUCAAAGAAACAUAAGCACAGCAGGCAAGCACCUAUCCUUCCAUGAAACUCACCCCAUGAGAUGAGAAUCAUGCACUGGACAGCUCAGAUUCAAUCUCAUGACCUCCAGACAGGUGCACAUACCAUGACGCUAUCAUGUUCUGGCCCUCUGGUGAUCACACACAUCAAUCCUGAGUAUCCAUCCAUCAAGGCUGGAUGACUCCUUUUCAGGCUGCAAGAACUGAGCACCAAAAGUAAGCUGUCUGAAACCAGCCCUAAAAGGCAAACACUUAGGUGAAAAAAAAUCAGGUUUUGUCCUUGCUACUGUGUUUCUUGAAACUGAAUAUAUAAGAAAAUUAAAAUCAGAUGUGCCAAAAAUACUAGGGACAUUUAUUUUAAUAAAAUUGAGAAAGCUGAAAAUAGCAAGCAUGAAGCCCACAGUAUGAGAUAGCUACCAUUUGUUUUGUGUAAAAAUACUCUGCCACUUAAAGCAUCAGAAAGAUUUCAUUAUGGGCUUUCCGGCUCUUUGCUUAUGUGUCACUGAGACCUCCUUUAUCUGCUGAAGAUGUGCUAAAUAGCAAUCAAGAUCUUUUUUAUGAAGUGGUCUGGGCAAGAAAAGGGCAAUUUCUUUCCUAUAUAUAGUGAAGAAAGUAAAGUAGGACUUAGAGAAAACCACCAGAAAACAAGAUGUUAAUUCCUCUCCAAUCCCUGUGUUAGUGGUCUGCUUUUGCCAUACAUCUUCAUUUUAACCUGUGGAAUAACUUCAUCUGCUCUCAUUUGGGGUGGUAACAUUCUACUUUUCUUUUCUGUCUGGUUGCUUCUGCAUUUGCCUGUUUGUAAAGACCUACUGGUAGAAUCAACUGGAAAAUGAGCAGAAAAACAAGAGGGAAAAACAUAAGGAAACAAAGCCAUCUGGGUCACAUUUCCCAGAGUACAUUUUAGUAAAUUCUGACUAAGACUUCCACACCGCACAGUUUUACAUCAAACUGGAAACUAGCCCAAGUUUUUAAUUUUUUAUACAGACUCUUCCUUAUAUAGCUUUCUCACAAAACAGUUCUGAAUAAUUUUCUAAUCCCUUGUUACUGUUACUACAUAUGCAAGCUUUCCUUCCAAGGUGAUUAAAGGUCUUUCCUUAUCUAAGGGAUACCAAAGCAGGAUCAUGAAGCUUAGCAUCUAUUCACCAAGAUCACACACAUAUACGUGGUAUGGCAUUCAAGAUAGUUGUUAAUUAUUUCUUUCUUCCAAGAAAUUAAAAUAGUCAAGUGCAUUUGCUAAAAGAAAAAUAUAAUCUACCCUAUAAUUAGCUUCUUAAGUAGCAUGUUUCAAUAAACAUGCCCCAGCAAGAUGCUUUGCCAUCAACAUGAAAUAAUGUAAAACAUUUUGAAGAAAAGCAUAUUGAGAAAGAGAAUGCAAGAAAGAUAAUUAAAACCAAUUGUAAAUGCAGUAGAUGUGAUUCUGAAAAAGCAAUAACCUAAAGACAGGAAUGGAUUCCAUUUAAUGAGAGAAAUCAAACAUGUCUGCAGUCUUUAUAACAAAUGAUAGAUAAGAGCAAUAGCCAAGGUUUGGUCUAGGUCAUAUAUUUUAUUAAAAACCCAUAUGGCAUGAUGAUCCACUAUGAAAAAUAGUAGUGGUAGUUUAUUACUGUGGUUUGUAGACAGGAAGAUUUUCAUUUAAUUGAACAUUUUCCAUCAUGUUCAGGACAAGAAAGUGUUUCUAAUAAUUUCCUUUUAGUAAUUAUUUUGUCUUUAUUAUAUUUGAUUUAAAUAAAAAAAAGAGCAGCUCAGUAGGGCUGAAGCAAUGUAAUUUAAUAAGAUGUGCUACUUGUUGUUUGUUAGGAUAGGCGACUCUUACCACCUGUUAAACAUCAGCAUACCUCAUACUGGACAUUUGGAAAAUGGGACCGAUUGCCCAAUGUCAAGUCCAAACUCAAAGUAGUAUCAGAUGUGCUACUGUUCUGGAGCAAUGUGGCACCAAAUGCACUGAUUAGAUUAUAAAGAAGUAUUUUUCUUCUUCUUUCUUUGGUACCACUGGGAUUUGUGCAAGAGGGACAAGAAAUCCAUGUUCCCACACUAUGUGAUGAGGAAUGUGAAAAGCUGCAUGGGUAUUAAUGAGCAUGCAUCUGUCCUUCACAGAGAAAGUUCAUGGUGCUUGAGAUGAAACCAAGCAAAGUUUACAGAUCAGCAACUUGUCAGCCCCAACCUCCAGAUGAAAUUAAAUGCAGAUAAAACAAAUAGAAUGUUUUAAGGAAAUGGAAAUACCAAGUGCUGGAAUUUCCUGGCUAUAUACAGCUGGAUUUAUUUCAAGCUCUCUGGACAUGGAAAACAGUAUGAGCUCAUAGUCCCUAUAUGGGAAAUAUGAUAUUGGGAAGGGAAGAAAUAGAGUUAUAGUCUCUGUUCUAUGGUAACUGCAUGAUUAUCCAUGCCAAAGACAAGGGAAUAGUCCCAACAAGAAUAGUUGGUCAGUCACAGUUUUGAGGAGAACAUGAGAAAGAGUAUGUACCCAGUGAGAAAUAUGGAUGAGGCUUUUUGGGACUGCUGAGAGGCAGGGAGGAAAUAAAGCCAUGUGGAAGCAAGCUGUGCUAUGACCCUUGCCCUGGCUGUGUGUAAUUUUCUAAUGUAGAAUUGGGCUAUGUGACUUACUGAUUUUAAUAUGUAGUGACAGGUCAGCCUGAAUUUUAAAAAAAAAAAAAAAAA
This 2930-nucleotide long non-coding RNA is filed under the name Taeniopygia guttata (zebra finch). RNAcentral describes it as "lncRNA (ENSTGUG00000026760.1)". The record is from RNAcentral. Lineage: Eukaryota; Metazoa; Chordata; Aves; Passeriformes; Estrildidae.